CAGCCGCCGCGGGAAUACGUAGGUCCCGAGCGUUAUCCAGAUUUAUUGGGCGUAAAGCGAGCGCAGGCGGUUAGAUAAGUCUGAAGUUAAAGGCUGUGGCUUAACCAUAGUACGCUUUGGAAACUGUUUAACUUGAGUGCAGAAGGGGAGAGUGGAAUUCCAUGUGUAGCGGUGAAAUGCGUAGAUAUAUGGAGGAACACCGGUGGCGAAAGCGGCUCUCUGGUCUGUAACUGACGCUGAGGAGCGAAAGCGUGGGGAGCGAACAGGAUUAGAUACCCCGGUAGUCCCUGUCUCUUAUACC
Molecule: ribosomal RNA, 301 nt
Filed under: uncultured bacterium
Lineage: Bacteria
Description: partial 16S ribosomal RNA
Rfam family: Bacterial small subunit ribosomal RNA
Source: RNAcentral